RNAcentral lists this transfer RNA (75 nucleotides) under Kitasatospora herbaricolor. RNAcentral describes it as "tRNA-Ser". Lineage: Bacteria; Bacillati; Actinomycetota; Actinomycetes; Kitasatosporales; Streptomycetaceae. The record is from RNAcentral.
GGCCCGCUGCCGGGCGGGGUCGGCCGGGUGCUGGAGCUGCCCUCGGGGGCGCCGCUCGGGGUCGGCGGGGUGCCC